Molecule: non-coding RNA, 109 nt
Filed under: Secundilactobacillus silagei
Lineage: Bacteria; Bacillati; Bacillota; Bacilli; Lactobacillales; Lactobacillaceae
Description: Lactobacillus silagei TPP sequence
Rfam family: TPP riboswitch aptamer (THI element)
About the family: Vitamin B(1) in its active form thiamin pyrophosphate (TPP) is an essential coenzyme that is synthesised by coupling of pyrimidine and thiazole moieties in bacteria. The previously detected thiamin-regulatory element, thi box was extended, resulting in a new, highly conserved RNA secondary structure, the THI element, which is widely distributed in eubacteria and also occurs in some archaea.
Source: RNAcentral
AAACAACACGAGGGGUGUCCCUGCAUUUAUGCUGGGGCUGAGAUGUGCUUGCACUAUCCCUUUGAACCUGUAAGUUCAUACUUGCGUAGGAACGUGUUCAAUUCGGACC